Molecule: long non-coding RNA, 623 nt
Organism: Onychostoma macrolepis
Lineage: Eukaryota; Metazoa; Chordata; Actinopteri; Cypriniformes; Cyprinidae
Exons: 5
Source: RefSeq, a predicted model, not a curated record
CUCUGCAUUUUCUUUGGCAUUGAAUCCAAAGAGUCUGGGACAGUAAUGGAGCUGCUCUAUCUGUUUGGUCACACAUUUCACAUUUGUUUCUCCAGCAGGUACAUUACAAGACCUUGGCCAUAGCAGACAGUUUAAAAUACCUGUAUGUGCCAGACCAGAAAGUAAGGUCAGAUCAGAGCUGACAGGAAGGGAAAUGGGAGAGAGAGAAGGGGGCGGGAUCAGGAAAGGUCCUUGAGCCGGGAUUCAAACUUGGAACGCCUGUAACACAAUGGCAAUGUCAGCGCGCUCCCCACAGGGCUAUCGCUGGUUCCGCUAGGGGUCAUCAUAGUGGAGUUAUCCACACAUUAGGCCUCAUUCAUGAAACUUUCGGGAAACUGGAGCACCUGGAGGAAGCCCACACUGUUACAGCAAGUACAUGCAAACUCCACACAGAAAAGACACUUGGCUCAAGUUCACUCCUCACCUGGCUGACACAAAAAGAUUGUGGGUUUGUGAUUUCAGCACCACGGACAGUACCACAGUAAUGGCACAUACUGAAUGGGCAGCUGUGGGAUUUGACAUGGCUGAAGGAGCAUCACGGGAUCGCCAAAGCUCGUUAGUCUCUCCUGAGACUGCUCACUUAG